Molecule: transfer RNA, 73 nt
Filed under: Ipomoea nil (Japanese morning glory)
Lineage: Eukaryota; Viridiplantae; Streptophyta; Magnoliopsida; Solanales; Convolvulaceae
Rfam family: tRNA
About the family: Transfer RNA (tRNA) molecules are approximately 80 nucleotides in length. Their secondary structure includes four short double-helical elements and three loops (D, anti-codon, and T loops).
Source: Rfam by way of RNAcentral
GUGUUUGUAGUCCAACAGGUUAGGAUAAUUGCCUUCCAAGCAAUAGACCCGGGUUCAACUCCCGGCAAACGCA